Molecule: ribosomal RNA, 4419 nt
Filed under: Triticum aestivum (bread wheat)
Lineage: Eukaryota; Viridiplantae; Streptophyta; Magnoliopsida; Poales; Poaceae
Description: partial small subunit ribosomal RNA
Source: RNAcentral
AUGCCCACCCGAACCAAGCACAUGGACGAAAUCUCGGACGAGCUCGAGGCGCUGCAGACCGAGCUGACUGCGCUGGGUUUGAAGCAGGACAAGAUGCAAGAUCAGAUCGAUCAGGUGAACACACGUCUACAGACAGUCGAAUCCUUGGAAAAACAGUUGGGAAAGGUAGAGCUCUUGGUCGAGAACAACUCCAAGGUUCAGCAAGACAUCUUCGCCAUCCUACGCGAAAUGCGAGCAGAGAAUCCCAACCCUCCCUCCCCUGUUCCCCAAGCGUCUGCUUCCUUGGUUGUUCAACCCAACAACAGCUUGACAGGCAGAAGUGCAAGUCAGCAAACACAACCAGCAAUCAGUACUACAACACAACACCAAACUGACAGAGCGAUGCAAUUUAUGAAGAGCAUUUCCAAAGGCCCUAAGAUAGAUUUCCCUACCUUCAAUGGAGAUAACCCCCUUGGGUGGAUCAGACAGGUCAACAAAUAUUUCCAGCUUGCUCAAACUCCUGAUGAGUGCAAAGUGGAUUUAGCAUUGACUUAUAUUGUGGGGAGAGCUGAUAACUGGGUCAGAAGUGCCCGAAUGGAAAACAACAGAUUGCCCUGGCCAGAUUUUUGCAGAGCAUUGUGUGACAGGUUUGCUGAAUCCAGCAUUUAUGAGGUACUGGAAAAAUUCCACAAUCUGAAACAGAACACUUUGUCAGUAGCUACUUACACUGAUAAGUUUGAAGAAGUAAUGGUAGUGGUUAGAGAUGAGCACCCAUACUUGCAAGAAAAUUACUACAUUGUGAGCUUUGUCAAUGGAUUAAAACCCAGCAUCACAUGUAAUUUGAGACCACAAAGACCUGCAACUCUCAGUCAGGAAAAAUAUCAGUCAUACCUCAACCACCAAGAAAAACAGUCUCAAGCUCAUUCUGGAGAAGCUAAAGCUACUCUUCCUUCAGCUCCCAACUUACAAAUUCCUCCACCAGCAGCAGCUACAAGGAAACAGGGGUUUGUUGGAGAUGCAAUGGACCUUAGUGAAAAUGAAUCUGAAGAUAUAUCCCCUGAAGAAGAAGCACAGCUAGCAGUAUUAACUGCAGAAGGGCAAUUUACAGAGCUAGCAGAUAAAUGCAUGCAUAUUUCUGCACAAGCUAUAUCUGGGGACUCCUCUGAAUCCACUAUAGCAGUGAGCACUUUCCUGGGAGGCAGAAAAGGAGUAGCACUAAUAGAUACAGGAAGCACUAAUACAUUCAUUGACCUCAAAUUUGCUCUGAAUGCUAACUGUCAAUUGGUCAAUACCCCCACUCAAAAAAUGACAGUGGUUGGGGGUGGCUCACUAAACUCGGGAGCUAUUGCUCCUAACACAAAUUUCAGAAUAUACACUGAAGAUUUCUCGAAUGAUCUAACAGUGCUGGAUUUACAGGGCUAUGAUAUUGUUUUAGGGUGUGAUUUUCUGAAGAAGCACAUCCCUUUAUCAAUGGACUUUGAUACAAGAACUGUCACUAUCAACAAGGACAAGAAGUACUCUGUAACAUUUGCAGAUUGUACAGUUGCACAACCACCCAAGCUUAUUUCUGCAGAAAAAACAGAGCUGGGAUCAAACGAGUUAAGUGACCAUCGACGGCUCUCCCGUUUCCUGUUCACCGUCACCCGUUGCCGCCACCAGCUUGACAGUAACAGUGACGGCAACGACUCCUUCCGUUCCACGCCAUCGCCACCUGCUCCCACCUAUGAAGGCCCCGUCCACCGAUCUGGAAAUCAUCUUUCCCCUUUCUCCAAGUGGUUCCACAAGCAGGCACCAAGCAGGGCAACCACCGGGAGUACGAGAGAGCUAGGAGGGAAUGGCGAUGGUGUGUGGGAGCGAGAUCCCGAUCUGGAAUUCUGGAUCGGGGAGGGAGAGAGGCAGGGGAGAGGGGAAAACGGAUUCCGUGCCUCCGCCAAGGGCGUCGGCGUCGGCGUCUUAUCGAUCAUCUCCAUGCAGCGGGAGCAGCGCCGCCGGCAAACGCGAGCCCGUGGCUCUCCCCCGCCCGAGAAGAGGAUUCAGUAUUUCUCCACGGCUGCCAUGCCAGAUUCUGUUCGUUUGGGCGUGAAGUCUUGCUUUGUUCCUAAAACAAGGUCACCAGCCCUCCAACAAGAUGGUGAUUCUAAAGGUGGCAAAAAAAUGAAAUAUCUGCCAGAUCUUCCGGAGGACAUUUGGUGGCAUAUACAUUCACUAAUGCCAAUGCGAGAUGCUGCCCGAGCUGCCUGCGUUUCUCGUACCUUUAUGCGUUCCUGGAGACGCCAUACCAGCCUCACCUUCAGUAGAAAAACACUAGGCAUGGAUGAUAAUGUGUGUGAAAUGGAUGGAAAAGCAAGGGAUCUCACCGGCAAAGUUGACAAAAUUUGGAUACAACACCCAGGCAUUGGUGUGAAGGAAGUCAAAAUUAAGUUCUUUGAUUACAAGACCAGGGCCUAUUAUCUUGAUCGUUGGCUUCAGAUUGCCGUCACACCUGGGAUUGAAGAACUCACCGUUAUUCCUUCUGUGAGCAAACAAAAAUUCAACUUCCCAUGUUCACUUCUAUCUGAAGGAGGUGGAAACUCGAUUCGGUGUCUGAAUCUUUACCGGUGUGUGUUCUGUCCUACAGUCAGACUUGGUUUGAGAAGUUUGACUCAACUUGAGCUGUUUGAUGUCCGUAUUACAGGAAAUGAGUUAGCCUGCCUUCUAGACAAUUCUGUUGCUUUGCAGCAGUUGGCACUCAUGUAUUGCAGUAAGAUUAUUAGACUGAAGAUACCUUCCCUGCUGCAGCGGCUCAUCACCCUUGAGGUGUCUAACUGUAAGAGGCUGCAAGCGAUAGAGAUCGAAGCUCAAUGUCUCUCCAAUUUUCGGUUUACCAGUGACCACCUAGUACAACUCUCGUUUGGAGAAGCAUUACAGUUGAAGACCCUAGUCAUGCAGUGUCGUGGUGCUCUCUGUUAUGCUCGUGCCAAUAUUCCAUCCAGCUUGCCAAAUCUUGAAACUCUUUCUGUAUAUUCACAUUAUGAGACAUUCAUCCUGAAUGCGGUGUGGAACAGCAUGCGGCAUACAUCCAUUUUUGCAGAUCCUUCAGGUCGGAGGCAGAUGCCAGAGCACCACCAUGACAAGCUAAAGAGUGUGACUAUUACUGGUUUCUCCUCUGCAAAGUGCUUGGUUGAGCUAACAUGUCACAUUCUUGAGAGUACAAAGUCACUUGAAUAUCUUACACUGCACACCACCGACGGAGAUAGUGUCUCUAGGUGUUCUGUCAACGGAUCAGACAAAUGCUGUGGCUGCCCCAUGGGCAGGGAUGCCAUCGUUGAAGCUCGGCAAGGGCUCUUGGCUAUCAGGACAUACAUCGAGGGAAUUGUUCCGUCUAAAGUGAAGUUCACUGUUGUGGAGCCUUGCAGCCAGUGCCAUGUUGUUGAGGGUCUGAUGAGGGCCAGGGAUUCCUUUCUCAAAUCUGGGUGUUUUCAAAUGGGAACCUGUCAGCCGCAGCUCACGUUGCAACAUCUUGGCUUGUCGGUUACAACAAAAUCGACUGGUUCCAUAAAAAAUCGUCUUGCUGCUGAGCCACCGCAGCUCGCCCUGCUGCCCGUUGCAGCUCGCCGUGUUACCGGUUCUAGCAAUUCAUUCAGCUCGCCAUGCUGCCUGUUGCAGCUCGCUGUGUUACCGAUUGAGCGUCCCAAAACACCUGUCCCCUGCGUCGCCUCCAUGGCGGCACGGGCGGAUCCACAUCGAGCGCCGCCUCCAACCCUCUCUGCCUCCCUACCUUCCCUCGCCGCUGCCGGAGGAGGCCGUCGGGCUAAGCCCUGCCGGCGGAUGGCGGCGGCGGGGCCUCUCUGCAGCGGCAAGAUCUCGCGGUGGGGGAGGCUCGCCUCCUUGUGGCGCGGCACUGCGGCUACGGGGUGUGGCGACCACGAGGUUGCGUCUCCAGCGGGUGGCGGCCGCGGCGACGUCGUCGGUAGGCUUCGGGGCCGCGGUCUUGCAGAUCCUUCCCGACGAGUCGGGGUCGGGGGUAGCGGCCCCACUUCCCAGCGUAUCUUCUGGUCGUUCUUCUCCAAUCCGGUUCUUGCUGGUGGUCAUGGUGUUGCGUCAAGGGGGCGCCAAAUCCGGCGGCUCUUAGGCCGGAUCCGGGUCGUCCGCGCCUGCCAGAGGGUUGGUCAUCCUGGUGGCCUCGGCUGCAGCAGCUGGGCGGAAGUGCGCUAUGGGGUGUGCGGGCCAGCUUCGGCCGGCUGCGCGAGGGUGUUCAUCGGGUUUGCUCCGAGCUCAAGCUUUGCCCGGCCGACGGUGGUGGCGCCUUUGGGCGUCGUUCCCCUUCUUGAAGGCACCGUCAUUGAGUUCUUCGACCCGCUCCAUCCUCGGAUCUCGUUCUUCAGGCGAAAGCCUAGACCCAUCUGGGCCGGGCAACGACGUUGUCUCGACGGCGUUUCCCUCUUUAGGGUGUUGCUUUGA